AAUAAUGACGAAACUCUUCUCAGUCACAAUCCUCUUCAUACUUUCAAUCGUCUCGGUCGCCCUGAUCUCCUUUUGCGAUGCUCAGGGGGGCAAAUCCGUGUUGAAAGAUGUGCGGAAACCGUUGAAACUUCAAAAAACGGUGUUAACGCAUCUCACUUUCUACUGGCACGAGUCGUUCGUCGGCCCCAAUGCGUCCGCUGUCAUUAUAGCCGGAGUUAAUUCCACAGACUCAGCUAUAAGAGCAUUCGGUACUACGUAUGCUUACGACAAUCCUCUGACGAUAGAGCCUAUAGUCCCUACAACAACGAGUGAGGUUGUCGGUAGAGCACAAGGAUAUUACACCAUGUAUCCAAGUGACGAUGAGAUAGCAAUCGGUGUGAUAAUGAACGUCGUUUUGAAGGAGGAGAUGUUUGCCGAUAGUAUUUUGACGUUCGAAGGGAGGAUUUUAUCUGGUACCGGUUUUGUAAGAGAGGUUCCGGUGAUCGGAGGAAGUGGUGUGUUUAGGUAUGCUACUGGAUAUUAUCAGUCUCAAAUGCUUUCUGCUGAUCCAAUCACUCGUCAAAAUGUCGUUAUGUUCGAUAUCUACGUUAAUAUGCUUUCGAAGUAAUUAUAUCUAUGCUUAAUUAUGUAUCUACUAUCUAUAAUUAUAUAAAGAUGUGAAAACCCUAUAUAUACAAAUAAAGGGUUUGAGUGUAAUAUUUUUACUUCUCAAAUACAAUAUUUUUUUUAAAGCAAUUAAAUUUCAUUAAAAAAUAAAGUAAAUGCCCAGUUUACAACAAAAUAUAGUAUAGAAAUAAAAACAGAAGUAAAAAGAAAUGAGGAAGAAGCUUAUUGACUCUCUUUCAUUAGCUAUGUAGUAUAGUUAUAUAGUAACUAAAUAUGAUGCCUCAGGAGGUUGGUCUCUCAUACUUCUAUCAUAGAUAUCUCCAAAGGGCGACAACAACUCUUUUUGUAAUACACUGAAUCAAAGGAGAGACUGAUGUUUUUAAUAACCUCGAUCCUUAAGGCCGGACUACCUCAGGAGGCUUAUUAAUGUGUUGUCUAUAUCUUUUAUUUCUAUCCAUCAAAUAAAACAUGAUUAUGAGAUUAAUUACGCCUCUUUCCCUACCUAAUUAAUCUCUAAUUAAUUUGAACAUCUUUGAAUUGGACAGAAAGAGAUUUUUCAACUGGUCACAAUAACUAUUUAGGUUUAUGAAGGUUCAAGGUUCUAUUCUCGCUGUGUAUGUAAUUUUUAUUUAAUUUCCACUACGAUAUAACCAGUGAUAUAUUAUGUAACUAUGAUAUAUAUAUCACCGGAAAGUAGGUAUCCUCUGUUAUCAAAAAAAAAUUUCCGAGUUGAAAGAGACGUAUUAAUUAAGAAAUACCCUAAUCCCUAAUUAAAAAAAGUUUAACCUUGCUAAUUAUUUGAUCAAUCGACACAGAGAGAUUAACUCACCUAAUUAGCCACAGUAACUAUUAAGGUUUGAGUCUCGUGGUAUAUCAUAAAUUUGUAUUCCAAUGGAAUUUAAAUUAAGACAUAGGUUAACUUAGAGUAAUUAAAUACUGCCAAUAGUUGAGUUGCACAUGUUUGAUUAAUUGGUUUCUGUUUUAAUCUUGUGAUUAACCUGUAGGGAAACGACUGGUACUGUUAUUACUGUUUAUAAGUCAAGUCAUUAAUUAUAUAUAAUUCUUUAUUAGAAUUUGGUACUGCUAUCACUGUUUGCAGAGAUGAUUAGAUCUGAGUUGCUGUUAUAGAUGAUGAUCUGAAUUCAUAAUUUCCAGAAGUUCUUGACAAGUUGCAGUCCAGAACUGCUAUUACAUACAAUAUUCACAAGUUGAUGUCCAGAAUUGUUAUUACAAUGUUCAGAAUAUUACAAUAUCACUUUAACAACGUUAUUGGUAUGAUUCUAUUGCAGUUCUAUUGAAAAGACAACAUAUAAAUUGUAGGAUAAAAUUGAAAAAAGAUAAUUAUACAUGAGAUAGCAUAAAAUUUUUAUUUUGGCUGCUUUUAGAUUUCAAUCAAUUUAUAUAAAAUACUUGAAUCUCGAAAAUGACUAAAUGAAUGGUCACAUAUAAAGUUGGGUUAUAAAUUAAUUGCGCAUAGAAAAAAUUGCACAAGAUACAAAAAUAUUUCACUUUCAUUGACUAUAGUGGUAUCAUGUGGUUAACAAUUAAGCUAAUUAAGCCGCCCACGAGAUCGAUGGUUUGCAAUUUCAAAAGUAGGAUGAACUAAGCAAAACUAACGAGCUAAGCAACCUAGCACUUUAAUCUUCUAUAAAUACAAACAUAUGGGAAACAAGUACCAGCAGUCAAUCCAAUAAUGGCGAAACUCUUCUCAGUCACAAUCCUCUUCAUACUUUCAAUCGCCUCGGUCGUCCUGAUCUCCUUUUGCGAUGCUCAGGGGGGCAAAUCCGUGUUGAAAGAUGUGCGGAAACCGUUGAAACUUCAAGAAACGGUGUUAACGCACCUCACUUUCUACUGGCACGAGUCGUUCGUCGGCCCCAAUGCGUCCGCUGUCAUUAUAGCCGGAGUUAAUUCCACCGACUCAGCUAUAAGAGCAUUCGGUACUACGUAUGCUUACGACAAUCCUCUGACGAUAGAGCCUAUAGUCCCUACAACAACGAGUGAGGUUGUCGGUAGAGCACAAGGAUAUUACACCAUGUAUCCAGGUGACGACGAGAUAGCAAUCGGUGUGAUAAU
This 2679-nucleotide long non-coding RNA is filed under the name Zostera marina. RNAcentral's name for it is "long non-coding RNA (ZMAR_LNC004950)". Lineage: Eukaryota; Viridiplantae; Streptophyta; Magnoliopsida; Alismatales; Zosteraceae. The record is from RNAcentral.